Molecule: ribosomal RNA, 468 nt
Filed under: uncultured bacterium
Lineage: Bacteria
Description: partial 16S ribosomal RNA
Rfam family: Bacterial small subunit ribosomal RNA
Source: RNAcentral
GACGAACGCUGGCGGCGUGCUUAACACAUGCAAGUCGAACGGAAAGGCCCUGCUUUUGUGGGGUGCUCGAGUGGCGAACGGGUGAGUAACACGUGAGUAACCUGCCCUUGACUUUGGGAUAACUUCAGGAAACUGGGGCUAAUACCGGAUAGGAGCUCCUGCUGCAUUGUGGGGGGUGGAACGUUUCGGCGGGUGGGGAUGGACUCGCGGCUUAUCAGCUAGUUGGUGGGCUAGUGGCUUACCAAGGCUUUGGCGGGUAGCCGGCCUGAGAGGGUGACCGGCGACAAUGGGACUGAGAGAGGGCCCAGACUGCUACGGGAGGCAGCAGUGGGAAAUAUUGCACAAUGGGAGGGAGCCUGAUGCAGAGACUCCGCGUGCGGGAUGACGGCCUGUGGGUUGUAAACCGCUUUCGCCUGUGACGAAGCGUGAGUGACGGUAAUGGGUAAAGAAGCACCGGCUAACUACGUG